This 587-nucleotide ribosomal RNA is filed under the name uncultured bacterium. RNAcentral describes it as "bacterial SSU rRNA". It matches the Rfam family "Bacterial small subunit ribosomal RNA", at positions 112 to 715 of the family's 1533-position model. The record is from RNAcentral.
AACGCGUGAGGAACCUGCCUCAAAGAGGGGGACAACAGUUGGAAACGACUGCUAAUACCGCAUAAGCCCACGGCUCGGCAUCGAGCAGGGGGAAAAGGAGCAAUCCGCUUUGAGAUGGCCUCGCGUCCGAUUAGCUAGUUGGUGAGGUAAUGGCCCACCAAGGCGACGAUCGGUAGCCGGACUGAGAGGUUGAACGGCCACAUUGGGACUGAGACACGGCCCAGACUCCUACGGGAGGCAGCAGUGGGGAAUAUUGCACAAUGGGGGAAACCCUGAUGCAGCGACGCCGCGUGGAGGAAGAAGGUCUUCGGAUUGUAAACUCCUGUUGUUGAGGAAGAUAAUGACGGUACUCAACAAGGAAGUGACGGCUAACUACGUGCCAGCAGCCGCGGUAAACCGUAGGUCACAAGCGUUGUCCGGAAUUACUGGGUGUAAAGGGAGCGCAGGCGGGAGAACAAGUUGGAAGUGAAAUCCAUGGGCUCAACCCAUGAACUGCUUUCAAAACUGUUUUUCUUGAGUAGUGCAGAGGUAGGCGGAAUUCCCGGUGUAGCGGUGGAAUGCGUAGAUAUCGGGAGGAACACCAGUGG